GUCUAAACACGCAUGAUUCGACGCAAUCGCUCGUUCGCUUAUACCGAGAAGUCCGCACCAAAGUUGGGAGACCUCGGUUAGAAGGAGAGAGUGG
Long non-coding RNA from Diprion similis, 94 nucleotides. RefSeq lists it as uncharacterized. The record is from RefSeq and is a predicted model, not a curated record. Lineage: Eukaryota; Metazoa; Arthropoda; Insecta; Hymenoptera; Diprionidae. The transcript has 3 exons.